AAACUUUCAACAAUGAUCUAUGUCCU
RNAcentral lists this ribosomal RNA (26 nucleotides) under uncultured fungus. RNAcentral describes it as "partial 5.8S ribosomal RNA". The record is from RNAcentral. Lineage: Eukaryota; Fungi.